This 422-nucleotide long non-coding RNA is filed under the name Olea europaea (common olive). RNAcentral's name for it is "long non-coding RNA (OEUR_LNC002294)". The record is from RNAcentral. Lineage: Eukaryota; Viridiplantae; Streptophyta; Magnoliopsida; Lamiales; Oleaceae.
GAGAAUCUUUGCACCUGAUGCCUUUGUUAUUUGAAUGCCCAUAAAAUUAUCGUCAAUGCCAUAGAGGUUACACAGUAUACCAUCUGAAAGUUCUACUCUUACCGCACCUGUAGUGGUGGUUUUUAGGUGCUUGGUGUUGGUUUGUUUGAAUAGUGGAAAUGGUUGUGGUGCUACUGAUUGUCAUGAUGUGAUGAUGGUGAUUUUGAAGACUGCGUAAUAGCAGCGGUGCUACUGGAGGUAGUGGUGAGGUUGUGAUUGUCAUAGAUUAUUUGGUUGAUUAUGACUAAUAAAUUGGUUUAAUAUGUGACCAAUAAAUAAUGCGUAACCUGAGAUUUGUUAAGUUGUGGCCAAUAAUUUGUUAAUUUAAAAAUAAUUUGUGACUAAUUAAUUAAGUAUUUUGUGACCAUGAAAUAAGUUGCGGC